GAAAAAAUUGAAAACCCUUUUUUUUUCUUACAAUAUAUAUACUAAUAAUAAGAUGUAAUAUGAUUGCCAAUGAGACAACUCUCCACCAGAAUUUUGAUAUGAUAAAUGAUAUAGACAGUGGGUGCUCUCUCACUAGCAAAACAACAUAACUGGAAAAUAUAAGGACUUACACCACAGGCACAGGGACCUAUUCUACUGAAUACACACAGCACCUGAGCAUCAAACCCUACAGACGAGUACAGUCUAUGUAAAAUAAGAAGAUGCGGUGUGAUUGCAUAAGGAGACAACUCUUCAACAGAAUACAAAACCAUUUGAUUUAAAUACAAAAUAUCUGUAAAACCUGGCUGAGCAUGGACACAAC
Molecule: long non-coding RNA, 361 nt
Filed under: Mytilus galloprovincialis (Mediterranean mussel)
Lineage: Eukaryota; Metazoa; Mollusca; Bivalvia; Mytilida; Mytilidae
Source: RNAcentral